UACGAAGGGGGCUAGCGUUGCUCGGAAUCACUGGGCGUAAAGCGCACGUAGGCGGAUCUUUAAGUCAGGGGUGAAAUCCUGGAGCUCAACUCCAGAACUGCCUUCGAUACUGGAAGUCUCGAGUCCGGGAGAGGUGAGUGGAACUGCGAGUGUAGAGGUGAAAUUCGUAGAUAUUCGCAAGAACACCAGUGGCGAAGGCGGCUCACUGGCCCGGUACUGACGCUGAGGUGCGAAAGCGUGGGGAGCAAACAGG
Molecule: ribosomal RNA, 253 nt
Filed under: uncultured bacterium
Lineage: Bacteria
Description: partial 16S ribosomal RNA
Rfam family: Bacterial small subunit ribosomal RNA
Source: RNAcentral